RNAcentral lists this ribosomal RNA (551 nucleotides) under uncultured bacterium. RNAcentral's name for it is "bacterial SSU rRNA". It matches the Rfam family "Bacterial small subunit ribosomal RNA", at positions 355 to 896 of the family's 1533-position model. The record is from RNAcentral.
UGGGGAAUAUUGGACAAUGGGGGAAACCCUGAUCCAGCGACGCCGCGUGUGUGAAGAAGGCCUGCGGGUUGUAAAGCACUUUUAGUGGGGAUGAAAAGUGCAGAGCUAACACCUCUGCAUCUUGACCUAACCCACAGAAAAAGCACCGGCUAACUCUGUGCCAGCAGCCGCGGUAAUACAGAGGGUGCAAGCGUUGUUCGGAAUUAUUGGGCGUAAAGGGUGUGUAGGCGGUUAAUUAAGUUUCCUGUGAAAUCUUCGGGCUUAGCCUGACAAAGUGCAGGGAAAACUGGUUGACUAGAGUGUCGGAGAGGAAAGGGGAAUUCCCGGUGUAGAGGUAAAAUUCGUAGAGAUCGGGAGGAACACCAGUGGCGAAGGCGCCUUUCUGGCUGACAACUGACGCUGAGACUCGAAAGCAUGGGGAGCAAACAGGAUUAGAUACCCUGGUAGUCCAUGCUGUAAACGAUGAUAACUAGAUGUGGGAGGUAUUGACCCCUUCCGUGUCGUAGCUAACGCGAUAAGUUAUCCGCCUGGGGAGUACGGCCGCAAGGUUA